This is a non-coding RNA of Meriones unguiculatus (Mongolian gerbil), 456 nucleotides long. Lineage: Eukaryota; Metazoa; Chordata; Mammalia; Rodentia; Muridae. The record is from the annotation of a RefSeq genome assembly.
AUGAAGAGGCUGCUGUGCUCUCUGCUGGGGCUUCUGUGCACCCAGGUUUGCUGGGUGAAAGGGCAGCAAGUGGAGCAGAGACCUGCGACCUUGGUAAUGCAGGAGGGUGAGAGUGCAACACUGCAGUGCAACUUUUCCACCUCUGCAAACCGAAUGCAGUGGUUUUACCAAAGUCCUGGAGGACACCUCAUCAGCCUGUUUUACAUUCCUUCUGAAACAAAGCAGAGUGGAAGACUGACAUCCAAGACAGCCCCUGUGGAGCAUCGCAGCUCUUUGUACAUUUCCUCCUCCCAGAGCACAGACUCAGGCACUUAUCUCUGUGCUGGGGUACACAGUGCUCCCCACACACCUGCAGCCUGUACACAAACAUUCUGCUGGAGUGAAGUGGUUUUAGGCAAGAUAGAGAGAUACGGAAUCAUGAUGAUGCAUGGAGGAAAUGGUAGAAGGGAAGGAUAG